GAUGAACGCUGGCGGCGUGCCUAACACAUGCAAGUCGAGCGAACCCUUCGGGGUGAGCGGCGGACGGGUGAGUAACGCGUGGGUAACCUGCCCUGUACACACGGAUAACAUACCGAAAGUAUGCUAAUACGAGAUAACAUAUUUUAAUCGCAUGGUUAAGAUAUCAAAGCUCCGGCGGUACAGGAUGGACCCGCGUCUGAUUAGCUAGUUGGUGAGGUAAUGGCUCACCAAGGCGACGAUCAGUAGCCGACCUGAGAGGGUGAUCGGCCACACUGGAACUGAGACACGGUCCAGACUCCUACGGGAGGCAGCAGUGGGGAAUAUUGCACAAUGGGCGAAAGCCUGAUGCAGCAACGCCGCGUGAGCGAUGAAGGCCUUCGGGUCGUAAAGCUCUGUCCUCAAGGAAGAUAAUGACGGUACUUGAGGAGGAAGCCCCGGCUAACUAC
This 446-nucleotide ribosomal RNA is filed under the name uncultured bacterium. Its description in RNAcentral is "bacterial SSU rRNA". It matches the Rfam family "Bacterial small subunit ribosomal RNA", at positions 28 to 504 of the family's 1533-position model. The record is from RNAcentral.